CAGAAAGGGCGGGUGGGAGCUGUAACUGCCCCGGCCGCGGGGCGCGCCCGCUCCCAAGUCGGCUUCCUUCCCGCCGGGGACGCUUUGCCUCGGGUCUCCCCAUUCUCCAGGUCCCCUGAACUGCACAGUCGGAGGCCGUGGGCGGCGGGCUCUGCCUCCGCCGAGGGACAGCCGGAUCGCCCCUCUGCUUCCCGCAACUGCCCUGAUCACCCCCCGUCCCAGCCCUUGAGUGAACGUCCUUCUGAGCGGCUUCCUGGGGUCCUCCCCACGUCCCAAAGGCCGGCAAGAUGGUGUCCUGGAUGAUCUGUCGCCUGGUGGUGCUGGUGUUUGGGAUGCUGUGUCCAGCUUAUGCUUCCUAUAAGGCUGUGAAGACCAAGAACAUUCGUGAAUAUGUGCGGUGGAUGAUGUACUGGAUUGUUUUUGCACUCUUCAUGGCAGCAGAGAUGGUUACAGACAUUUUUAUCUCCUGAUCAAGAUGGCCUUCGUGCUGUGGCUGCUCUCACCCUACACCAAGGGCGCCAGCCUGCUUUACCGCAAGUUUGUCCACCCGUCCCUGUCCCGCCAUGAGAAGGUACCCCAGGGGGAAGCGGGAAGGGAGGCUUAGGGGUGGGUGUGAGGGAAAGAGCCCUGGACCUGGGAUUUAGGAUGCUGGGGACACCGGGGUUCUAUCCCAGUCCUGCUGCUAUUGAGGGGCAGGACCUUGACAGGGCCCAGCCUACCUCAUCUUCUGGG
Molecule: small RNA, 732 nt
Filed under: Pan troglodytes (chimpanzee)
Lineage: Eukaryota; Metazoa; Chordata; Mammalia; Primates; Hominidae
Description: retained intron
Source: RNAcentral